RNAcentral lists this ribosomal RNA (465 nucleotides) under uncultured bacterium. RNAcentral describes it as "partial 16S ribosomal RNA". It matches the Rfam family "Bacterial small subunit ribosomal RNA", at positions 28 to 507 of the family's 1533-position model. The record is from RNAcentral.
GAUGAACGCUGGCGGCGUGCCUAACACAUGCAAGUCGAGCGGAGAAUUGUUGCUUGCCACAAUUCUUAGCGGCGGACGGGUGAGUAACACGUGGGUAACCUGCCCUAAACAAAGGGAUAACAAUGAGAAAUCAUUGCUAAUACCGUAUAAGCUUACACUAUCGCAUGAUAGAGUAAGAAAAGAUUUAUCGGUUUAGGAGGGGCCCGCGUCUGAUUAGCUAGUUGGAGAGGUAACGGCUCACCAAGGCGACGAUCAGUAGCCGACCUGAGAGGGUGAUCGGCCACAUUGGGACUGAGACACGGCCCAAACUCCUACGGGAGGCAGCAGUGGGGAAUAUUGCACAAUGGAGGAAACUCUGAUGCAGCAACGCCGCGUGAAGGAAGAAGGUUUUCGGAGCGUAAACUUCUAUCUACAGGGAAGAAAAAAAUGACGGUACCUGAGGAAGAAGCCCCGGCUAACUACGUG